UCCCCAUUCUCUUCUUUUCUUCCUCCUCCCCAACUAUGACAGUUUGCUUGCAUAUAGUGGUGAGAACACAUGCUUACUAUCUAGGUGAUCCCUGGACUAGAUUCCCAAACUCUAACUUGCUUUUCUCUUUUGUAUUUUUUUUUCUUGAGAGAUGAGAGAGGUGGUGGCUACCUCUAGAGUUCAGAAGUUCCUGGCUUCCUCAGUUAAUGCAAACUGUCCUUUGGGAGGUUAUGCCUUCAGUUGAUGCAUCUUGGAGGAGAAGAUAACCUUCAAAAGGAAGAGCAGCCCAAGCCAUGCCUUAGAUUGCCAGAAGCUAUGAACCUUGAGUGAGAUGUUCAGUCAAGCAUUUGGAAAGAUCAACUUUUCCCUGGGACAGAGAAAGACCCCACUGAUCCAAUGGGGUUAGUCUGCUGCAGAAAAUCUCCUGGCUGCCUCUUUCCCAGAGUGAGGAUAAUCAAAUGAAAAGGCCACUGAUGACUGAUGAUUUUUCAUAAAUUGACUACGAGUUCCCAGAAACUACCCCUUUUGACUGAGGACUGAACUUAAAAGAAGACAAUCAAAUCCCAGGAACAAGAAACCCACUCCUUGGUCACCAGUUUGGGGCUUUUUUCAUAUUGCUCAAGUUUCUGUGAACUUAUUGUAAGAAGGUUUUUCUGUCCUUUCACAAGAUGAUUUAAACAUCUUCCCAGUAUCUCAUUGGAGGCUCCCAGUGCCAUGGUGCCUGUUGCUAUGGGGGAACCAAGAUUUGCAGUCUUUUGACUUUGAUUAAAGACCCUUUAUUA
Molecule: long non-coding RNA, 782 nt
Organism: Monodelphis domestica (gray short-tailed opossum)
Lineage: Eukaryota; Metazoa; Chordata; Mammalia; Didelphimorphia; Didelphidae
Source: RefSeq, a predicted model, not a curated record